CGGGAUGACAGUGAGUGAAAUCCUAGCCUGAAAAAAAAGGAAGAAGAAUAUCACAGUGUUCACAGCAGCAGGGAAAUAGUGACGGAUGCUGCGGGAUGCUCUCUUCGGUGGUCCUGGCGCUCUCGGCUUGGCGUUUGUGUUUGGUGAAGUUGAAAGCUGCUGGUGUUGGUGCUGGUGAGUGCUUUCGCGAGUGAACGAGGAAAACAAAUUUCUCGAUUGGGUGGAUUGCUGCUGCUUCCCUUCUGCCAGAUGAUUGCCAUUUGUGAAGGGUUUUUCUCUAAUUGGCAGCUCUGAAGUUGAGGGUUGAUUGUGUGAAUCAAAGAUCGAAGCUUCACCGUUUUGUUUGUGGAGCUGGAAUCGGAAGAAGAGUCACUAGGCACGGCCAGAUUGUAUGGGUGAAAUGUCAAAUAAGAUGAGUGUUUAAGGGUGUUGUUUUUUUUUUCCUGGGAGAAAGGAGCAGGGAAAAAAUGCACUCGUACAGUUCUCGGCCAGUGAGGAAGUGCUCAGGCGAGUGAAGUCCUAAAGCAUAACACACUCAAUCUGGCAACUGAUGGAAAUAGUGUAAAAGUUGCGAAUAAAUGAUUGCGAUUCAGAUUGGGCUAGGUCAGCGUGUGUGAAAAAAUCGUAGUCGCGAAAUUGCCUGCGUGCUGAUCCGUGUCAAGUUCGCUGUGUUGUUGUUCAAAUUGCCGAGGCAGAAAAACAUAGUCAAUCGCCCAGUGGGUGGCGAAAGGCGGAAACAAGUGAUAAUGAUGAUAAUUUAGUGCAUGUGAGCGUACAAGUGCAAGGGAAACGAAAAUCCUGUCGGUGAGAGUACUUCAGCUGUAUAAUAGCACUUACGUGUCAAUCCGUCUAUGUCUGCGGAGCCAAGCACCUACCUUAACCGGAGAAACGGGGGUGGAAAACAAGAAAUGUAAUUUACCAUUUCUUCCAACUUCCUGCUGCCAAGUGGAUCCCGUACAGUUGGUUAGUUAUAUAGUUGGUGCUUGUCGAAAGUGAUGUGAAGUGAGGAUUAGCGCUGUUCUCAAGCUUCGAGCAGUAAUAAACAGAGGAUUAACAUAAGUAAUACACUUACGGCUGCCAUUGUCAUCCUCUGCUGGCCGUCAUCAACAUCACCAUCAUCAUCAUCAUCGCCGUCAGUGAAGAACGAACGAGACGGGACUCAAAACUUUCGGCAAAGGAAUAAGGGUUGCGAAUGUGACCCUAGCUCGGCUUGACACAUCCUACUGAGGUCGCUGCGCCCGUCGGUUUCAACUGCCGAAGGUUCCGGAGGGGACUACCAUUUUGUUGCUCU
Long non-coding RNA from Ochlerotatus camptorhynchus, 1291 nucleotides. RefSeq lists it as uncharacterized. Lineage: Eukaryota; Metazoa; Arthropoda; Insecta; Diptera; Culicidae. The record is from RefSeq and is a predicted model, not a curated record. The transcript has 3 exons.